Molecule: ribosomal RNA, 326 nt
Filed under: uncultured eukaryote
Lineage: Eukaryota
Description: partial 18S ribosomal RNA
Rfam family: Eukaryotic small subunit ribosomal RNA
Source: RNAcentral
CCCUUAGAUGUUCUGGGCCGCACGCGCGCUACACUGAUGCAUUCAACGAGUCUAAAACCUGCUCUGAUAGGGGUGGGUAAUCUUUUGAAUGUGCAUCGUGAUUGGGAUAGAUGAUUGCAAUUUUUCAUCUUCAACGAGGAAUGCCUAGUAAACGCAAGUCAUCAGCUUGCAUUGAUUACGUCCCUGCCCUUUGUACACACCGCCCGUCGCUGCUACCGAUUGGUUGAUCUGGUGAAUUAUUCGGACUGCCGGCUGAAGGGGUUUCCUCAUCUGCCAGCGGAAAGUCUUGUUAACCCUAUCAACUAGAGGAAGCAGAAGUCGUAACA